Molecule: long non-coding RNA, 432 nt
Organism: Fundulus heteroclitus (mummichog)
Lineage: Eukaryota; Metazoa; Chordata; Actinopteri; Cyprinodontiformes; Fundulidae
Exons: 3
Source: RefSeq, a predicted model, not a curated record
UGAAAUGCGUGUGUCACACGGUCAAUGCGUGAGAGUUGAGAGCUAUGGUAAUAACAGUCUACACGCAACUUUUUCCCCCUAGGUAAAAUCGGGGACAUUUCCGGGGACUGCUUAAGCCGGGGACAGGUGGUCCAAAACGGGGACAGUCCCCGGAAAUCGGGGACGUCUGGUCACCCUAUCCUGUUAGCCUCCUGCUAGCCUCCUGUUGGCCUCAUCACCUGAAGCUGAUGAAGUCACAGAUACAAAAUCUCCCUGAAAGCAACAAAAGAAAACCUGUUGUUUCUGCUUCUGCUGUGUGCCAGAUUUCCAUCUCCUGAUCUCUCUUGCUGUAGGGCAAUUUGUGUUGGAGCCUGCCUACUUGGGAGGAAACAAGGAAAUUUUUUGGGGGGAAGGGAUUUGUUUAUUUUUGAAUGGACAUUUAAAAAAUACAAA